GCUAUUUCUAGUGUACUUGGACCACUUCCAAAAGUCUGAGAAAGGCACCCAGGAAAGAUUACCAAAAUGAAUCGUGCAGCACUGGGGAGUAAUGGUGACCUUCUGAAAGUUUGUUCUAUGUGUACGCCCUUGGAGUUCUGAUCCCCUGAAAGGUUCUGGCUGGGUUUGCCUCAGGCCCUAUUUGUCACUCCAAACUGAGGUCAACAUUCAUGACUUUUUUUCCCCCAUAAAUAAUAUACCUUGCCUCCAUAUUCAUUGGAUGUUGAACUCUGGGCUAAGUUCAAGAAUAAAAACAUACCAAAG
This 303-nucleotide long non-coding RNA is filed under the name Phascolarctos cinereus (koala). RNAcentral's name for it is "lncRNA (ENSPCIG00000034730.1)". The record is from RNAcentral. Lineage: Eukaryota; Metazoa; Chordata; Mammalia; Diprotodontia; Phascolarctidae.